This 272-nucleotide ribosomal RNA is filed under the name uncultured bacterium. RNAcentral describes it as "partial small subunit ribosomal RNA". It matches the Rfam family "Bacterial small subunit ribosomal RNA", at positions 26 to 285 of the family's 1533-position model. The record is from RNAcentral.
AGAAUCAACGCUGGCGGCGUGCCUAACACAUGCAAGUCGAACGCGAAAGCCCCGCAAGGGGUCAGUAGAGUGGCAAACGGGUGAGUAACACGUGGGUGACCUGCCUUCGAGUGGGGGAUAACGUCCCGAAAGGGACGCUAAUACCGCAUGACAUCCUGCCUUUGGAAAGGUGGAGAUCAAAGCUGGGGAUCGCAAGACCUGGCGCUUGAAGAGGGGCCCGCGCCUGAUUAGCUAGUUGGUAGGGUAACGGCCUACCAAGGCGACGAUCAGUA